CCUUCGAUAGCUCAGUUGGUAGAGCGGUGGACUGUAGAAGCGUCUCUCCAUAGUAAUCCAUAGGUCACUGGUUCAAAUCCGGUUCGAAGGA
Non-coding RNA from Anopheles arabiensis, 91 nucleotides. The record is from Rfam. NCBI's taxonomy places the organism in Eukaryota, Metazoa, Arthropoda, Insecta, Diptera, Culicidae.